Molecule: long non-coding RNA, 3146 nt
Organism: Equus caballus (horse)
Lineage: Eukaryota; Metazoa; Chordata; Mammalia; Perissodactyla; Equidae
Source: RefSeq, a predicted model, not a curated record
CUCGCCUCGCCCCGUCGUCUCCACCCGGCUGGGGGGUCCUCUUAGACGGGGGCGCAGGAUCGAUUCGGUGUGGGCGGCUGAAACUUUCGUCCUCCCCUUUGCGCUGGUUUAUUUUAUCCCUCUGUCUCCUAAGAGGGGACUAGGGUUGGUCGGAGGGAGGGAGAGUUAGGCGACAGAGGGGACUUUCCUCCGAGGCUGGGGUUCCUACCUGGGGUGAGAAAUCCGCGGGCUUUGGGAGCAAGGGAAAUGGGUGGAACAAGGAGUGGGGUCUGAGCCCUGGGAGCACAGAACUUUCUUUUCUAAUUAAGAUAGACAUUACUAUCUGUCUUUAGAGUGAAUUUGUAGUGAACAUUAAUACGAAAGGUGGGUGGGGUGAAUAGAGAGAAGGGAAAACGGGGAGGGUCUCAGGGUAAAAGAAGGGAGAGAGCGCAGGAGGGGCGUGAUAACCCUAAUUUUAAGUCCCUGAUCUGGAAGAGAGGCACGGGUCACACCCUCAUAUUUCGUUUGCGGAGACGUUGGGGGUCGGGAGGGACAAGGUUCAUUUGGAGAAGGGGGGCCAGAGCUGAGUCCAGCUGCAAAGCAGGACUUGCAUUUGGGCUCAGGAGAAUUUAUAGUUGCCAGUAAUGACUGACCAUUGUCCAUGGACCUGCAUAUGCAGGCCUGGGGCCCUCCCUUUCAGAUUUGAGGGUGUCUUUAUUUGGGGGGCACUAAAGAACUGCUGAGAAAGUGGGAUUUUGGGACCACUGAAGAUUCAGGAUGGUGAGAUGGCUUUUGCAUGUGAAGGUUACUUUGGCCUCUGCCCCGUUGGGAGGUGGGAGUAAGACUAGGGGCUCCCUUUGGUAUCAGGAUGGAGUUGAUUUUCUGUUAUCUGGUCAACUGUGGGGGUGCAUGUUUAUUAUGGGGUCUUGAGUUAGUUUGAUUGUUCUGAGUACUGGGGGCUGCAUUCAGGCAUGAGGGGCAAUAGUAAGUUUGAGGCAUGGAGCUGAUUUUGAAGCUACAUUAGUUCAGGGGAUUCUGAUACCUACAAUUUGAAGACUGUCAUCUUGGAAUAUCAGGAGAACCUGCUAGGUGUUCUUCGGGAGGUGGGCGAGGGUUGUGUUUGGGGGAUUCAUAGUCAUUGGUGUAUAUGGACAAUCUGAUUUCAAGUAAAGUAGUCAUGCUGAUUUUGGGGUGCAGUCUGUUUUGGGGUGUCAUAUAAGUUUCAAGGCUCAAAUUAGACUUGUGGGACAUGAAAUUCAAUUUGGAGUUUUUUAUUAGCUUGAGGUGAACCCAUAAUAGGAACCUGGGAGCAAAUUUGAAGGCCUUCUGUGAUUGUGGGUCCUUGAGGGGGAGCAAAGCUUUAUAUUUGAAUGUUGUGGAAACUUACUUUGAGGGGGGAUAUGCUUGUGUAUGUGUAGAUAGGCAAGAAGCUUUUUCCAGGGGGAGAAACGAGGUAGGGCCCAGGAGACUAAAGUUUUGGGGUAUCUUUAUUUUGGGGUGUUUUGUCACUCUUUGGGUGCAUUUGGUGAAGCUGAGGGAUGGAUCAUAAUAUGAGAUUGAUUUGGGAGUUCACUUCAUUUGGAGCACGAAGCUGGUUUGGGAGUCCUUUGCUUAUAGUUCCCUUUCACCCCGGAUUCUAGAAAUCUCUUUCUUUAGUGAACCCCCAAAUAUGCCCAGGAUUUGAAGGCAGCGAUUUGGAAAGGGAGUGUAUCUCCUCUGAUUUCUGUGUGGCCUGGAUAGAUCUGAGGGAGAAGAGGUGGUUUCAGACUCUGAACCCCAGUUCCUUAAGGGAACACACCUCGAUUUGGGGAAGGUCGGGGAAAAUGGGGUGUCUUGUGGUAAAGUGGACACCCCUGACUAGGGCAGUAUUGUUGGAACUGUGGCAAGGAGAGGUGGCAGUGGGGUACAAGGAGGUGAUUCUUAUACCCUGAUUUCCUAGGAUAAGAGCCCCAAACAGAAAGCAGACAGAGGACUGGGAGUGUGGGUGAGAUGGGGGGGAGGGGUUCCCCACGGCAGCAGGGGCUAGGGGGUAAGCCAGGCCAGCUGUGCACGCCUGGGUCCCUGCUCUCUUCGGCUCUCCUCCCCUCUCUCCCUCCCACCGCCCACCCCCCCAACCCAAGGAAAAAAAACUGCCUGUGCAACAGCAAUGGCAGAUUCCAAUCCUCCAGGCUUUCCUAAACCACCACCGAGACCAGCCAGGGGGGAGGGGAAGGGAGGAUCGGGCUUUCCUGCUUCCCUAAGACUGGGGCUAUGAGCUUGACCUCCUGGCCCCUAGCCCUUCAAGGAGUGCCCCCCGGUCUGGAAGCCAGGUGUCCUGGACCCUAGCCCCCGAGCGGGGGGGCCUGGAGAGACGGGGAGGAGGAAGGAGGGAGUGACUUCCAAAAUUGGCAUCGGGACAGAGCAGGGCUGGCGGGAGGCAGGUGAAAGACGGAAUUUUCCUGAAAAAACGGGGGUAUCUGAGGACCCCAAAUUUGGGGAGCUAGUCCAGGACCGUCCUGCCAACAUCCCAGAUUUUUUUGGGAUUUUUUGGAGCCCCCGGGACCCCUCUAGAUGGGGUGAGGAAUGUAGUGUUGGGGGAAUCUGACUGGGGCAUUGCAGCUGCCUCUCCCGCCGAGUUGGAGACGGAUGGGCUGGGACGGGUUUGGGGGGGGGGUGUCCCCAAUUCUGACUGGGAGUGGAGGAGCCCCCUCCUGAGCUCUCUUGUGGGGGUCCCCCCUCCCUAGAGCACUCCCCACUCCCUGAGCCAGCGAGAGGAAGGAGGCCAGCGAUGCGACUGGGGCGGCUCCUUUCUCCUGCACCCCAAAUGUGAGGGAUGCACCCCAAAUUUUGCUCCCUUCAAAAUAGGGGACCAGGAUCUCAGGGGAGAGUAGCUGAGGGCAGAUGGAGUGUGAAGAGUCCCUGAACUGAGGAGUAGAAAAGGCCCAUCUCCUAAUUCUCUUCUGGGAGAGAUGUAUGGAUGUGCAAUGCUACCAGUCCUGAAGGGGAUGCUAACAAAACUUGCAACAAAGUAGGAAAGAUGUUGAGCUGGGAGUCCUGACGAAGAUGGAACAACGGGUACGCAGGAAGGAAGCUGCCCACCCUCCCUUUCUCUGCCAGCGAACCCUCCCUCACACUGUCCGUUCCUUGAUGAUACAGCUGAUGUGAUUAAGAUCGUCCCCAAAUCGCUU